This 228-nucleotide unclassified non-coding RNA is filed under the name plant metagenome. RNAcentral describes it as "partial contains small subunit ribosomal RNA, internal transcribed spacer 1, and 5.8S ribosomal RNA". The record is from RNAcentral.
UCUCCGUAGGUGAACCUGCGGAGGGAUCAUUACAGAGUUCAUGCCCUACCGGGUAGAUCUCCCACCCUAUGUUAUUAUUACUUUGUUGCUUUGGCGGGCCGUUAGGCUCCGGCCCGACUACCGGCCCCGGCUGGUAAGCGCCGCCAGAGGACCCAAAACCCUGAAUAUUAGUGUCGUCUGAGUACUAUAUAAUAGUUAAAACUUUCAACAACGGAUCUCUUGGUUCUG